This 463-nucleotide ribosomal RNA is filed under the name uncultured bacterium. RNAcentral describes it as "bacterial SSU rRNA". It matches the Rfam family "Bacterial small subunit ribosomal RNA", at positions 8 to 507 of the family's 1533-position model. The record is from RNAcentral.
AGAGUUUGAUCCUGGCUCAGGAUGAAUGCUGGCGGCGUGCCUAAUACAUGCAAGUCGAGCGGUAAGGCCCUUCGGGGUACACGAGCGGCGGACGGCUGAGUAACGCGUGGGAACAUGCCCCAAAGUGAGGGAUAACGCACCGAAAGGUGUGCUAAUACCGCAUAUGGUCUUCGGAUUAAAGGAUUUAUCCGCUUUGGGAGUGGCCCGCGUACGAUUAGAUUGUUGGUGAGGUAACGGCUCACCAAGUCGACGAUCGUUAACUGGUCUGAGAGGAUGAUCAGUCAGACUGGAACUGAGACGCGGUCCAGACUCCUACGGGAGGCAGCAGUAAGGAAUCUUCCACAAUGGGCGAAAGCCUGAUGGAGCAACGCCGCGUGCAGGAUGAAGGCCCUCGGGUCGUAAACUGCUUUUAUGAGUGAAGAAUAUGACGGUAACUCAUGAAUAAGCACCGGCUAACUACGUG